AGGGGGCUCCCGCCUCCCCGGCCACGCGAGCGGGAACAGUCUCCUCCACUCGGAGCGGCGCCAUCUUCAGCUCUGAGUCACCAGGGCUGGAAAAAUACUAGAUGCGCUACUCGUGGACUCGUGAAUACACUCGUGAAUACAGGCCAUUUCCUGUACCUACAGCCACCCGCUAGUUCAUCCAGUCCUCCAUGUUAGGAUGCAGCAACCAGGUAUAAUCUUGGAAGCAGAGACAGACCCUCACCAGACACAGUCUCCUGGGACCUUGAUCUUGGACCUUCCAGCCUCUAAAACUAUCUACAGCUGGGGUUCUCUUCUGGCUCUCCUGCCAAGGCCAAUCAGAUCGCAAUACAAAAAAGUAACACUUUCCAGCAUUCUGUAGAGUCUGAUUUUCUAAACAGUUCUUUAGAUUUUAAUGCAUCUCAAUAAUAGUUAUAAGUAACAUUUUAUUUUUUUCUGUGGCAGAUUAGGCCUCCUGCAAAAUAGUCAUUUUCAAAAAUUGUCUAAGAUUCAGAUGCCGCACCCAAUGUUUAUGCUUUUUGCAGCAAUAUGGUCCUAAUUCAACAUCAUGCAGCGUGCAAAUCAGUGUUUCUUCUAACUUCAACAGUGAUAAAUAUUUAUUAAGCCUCCACUAUGUUCAUGGAACUAUACCAGGUGCUGCUAUAACUAUUUUUCCUUUCCAGGAAAAAUAAAUUCAAAUAUGGAAUAAAAAGCCCAAACUCAUGAAACUGGACUGACUUUGCUUCUUAAAAAUUCAACAUGCUGCAGCUGCAUGCUUAAACCUGGUUCAAACAGGAUGAUGAAAUAAAACAUUAUUAUUGUGGGAAUAUAACACUGUCUAAAUAAAUAGCCAACAUGAAAACUGUCUCUAAAACCCAUAGCAUCUGUAUGUGCAGACUGUAAGUAAGUUAUAUAAUUCCUCCACUAUUCUGUAACAUGGCCAAUUCAGAAUGUCUUACCAUUAAUCUUGAAGACAUUUAAAGAUGUUCACUUUUCUAACUCUUCCCUUUGAAAAUAUAUUUGAACCUUAUUUGCAAUAAAAAUCUCAUAAUAUUGUA
Molecule: long non-coding RNA, 1055 nt
Filed under: Homo sapiens (human)
Lineage: Eukaryota; Metazoa; Chordata; Mammalia; Primates; Hominidae
Description: AHI1 divergent transcript
Source: RNAcentral